Molecule: long non-coding RNA, 1050 nt
Filed under: Anas platyrhynchos platyrhynchos (common mallard)
Lineage: Eukaryota; Metazoa; Chordata; Aves; Anseriformes; Anatidae
Description: lncRNA (ENSAPLG00000018768.1)
Source: RNAcentral
AUGGGAUCAGGGAGCUGGGACACGGCUCCUGGUGCCACCACCCCCUUGGUUUCUCCAGGGAUAGGUCCUGAGCCCCCUCUCCCCAUGGCACGGACUCACCUUCUGGCCCUGCAUGCCCUCGGGACCUCGCGGGCCAACGCUGCCUGGGGGGCCGGGGGGGCCGGGAGCCCCAUCACUGCCCCGGGGACCGGGGGCACCGAUAACGCCUGGGGAACCCUGCGGGAGAGCAGAGGGAUGGGCUGGGGACGUCCCACGGGGCGCAUGCCCUGGCCCCACAAUGGGGUGUCCCCAAAGCACCAGCUGCCCCUCAGGUCCUCCAGGAGCAUUUUAAAAAAUGAUUUGUCACCCAGCUCAGUGACAGAGCAGAGCCCUGGGUGGCUCUUUUGGGAUCGUCAGGCUCCGGUGCCCCACGGGGUGAGGCUUGGUGCUGCUGAAGGCAGAGGAGGGGACGAUGGAUGCGUCCCCCCCCCAACCACUCACCCGGUCUCCUUUCUCCCCCUGGUCUCCUUUGGCUCCCUGCUGCCCGUCGAAUCCCCGGUCACCCUGGGGGGAGGAAGGUGCAGGCAGUGGGGGACCACGGGGAGCAGCCCCAGGACCGUCCCCGAGGUCCCAAUGCGUCCCCAAGGUCCCCACACGUCCCCAAGGUCCCACUGUGACCCUACCUUGGGUCCCAUGAGCCCCUCCUUCCCGGGGACCCCCGGCACCCCCGACAGCCCCAGCUCUCCCUGCGGGACGAAGCAGACAUCGGUGAGCCCCCGCCGUGCAUCCCCCCCACCCCAUACCCCGGUGCCACCACUCACCGGCUCGCCUUUCCUCCCUGGCAGCCCCGAGCGCCCCGGCAGCCCCGGCUCUCCCUACAGCAGGCAGGACAGAGGCAGGGAGGGCGUCAGAGCUCACCUUUGGGGUCACCCCCAGCAGGGGACCCUCAGCGGGGUCGGGGUCCGUGCUCAGCCAUCCCUGGUGGCUGUGGGAUGGACGGAGGGGCUGCACAGCGUAGGCACCCACUCACCUUCUCCCCCUUGUCCCCGUCGAGGCCGCAGGCGCCUUUGA